GAGGGUAUAGCUCGGUGGUAGAGUGCAUGCCUAGCAUGCAUGAGGUCCUGGGUUCAAUCCCCAGUAUCUCCA
Molecule: transfer RNA, 72 nt
Filed under: Camelus bactrianus (Bactrian camel)
Lineage: Eukaryota; Metazoa; Chordata; Mammalia; Artiodactyla; Camelidae
Also listed under: 2 other names
Rfam family: tRNA
About the family: Transfer RNA (tRNA) molecules are approximately 80 nucleotides in length. Their secondary structure includes four short double-helical elements and three loops (D, anti-codon, and T loops). Further hydrogen bonds mediate the characteristic L-shaped molecular structure. tRNAs have two regions of fundamental functional importance: the anti-codon, which is responsible for specific mRNA codon recognition, and the 3' end, to which the tRNAs corresponding amino acid is attached (by aminoacyl-tRNA synthetases). tRNAs cope with the degeneracy of the genetic code in two manners: having more than one tRNA (with a specific anti-codon) for a particular amino acid; and 'wobble' base-pairing, i.e. permitting non-standard base-pairing at the 3rd anti-codon position.
Source: Rfam by way of RNAcentral